Molecule: long non-coding RNA, 233 nt
Organism: Wasmannia auropunctata (little fire ant)
Lineage: Eukaryota; Metazoa; Arthropoda; Insecta; Hymenoptera; Formicidae
Exons: 3
Source: RefSeq, a predicted model, not a curated record
AAGGUGAAGGUUAAACGGUCGCCCGCGACGACGCUAUGACCGUUAAGUUACUCCGUAAGAGUAUACCGAGUAUGUAAACAUGAGUUAUCUUGAAUCAUCGAGAGGCGUAAAUACAUCGCAUCAUCGAGAAGCCUUCGCAACAUGUUAAUUAAGAAUCCGUCCUAUUGCCCGUUGUUGGAUUUUACUCACGGAACAAAUCUCUGACACGUCGAGCACCCUGGCCAACGAGGAUC